RNAcentral lists this non-coding RNA (21 nucleotides) under Caenorhabditis elegans. Lineage: Eukaryota; Metazoa; Nematoda; Chromadorea; Rhabditida; Rhabditidae. The record is from RNAcentral.
UCCAAUUGAAAAACAGUGCGC